UACGAAGGGGGCGAGCGUUGUUCGGAAUCACUGGGCGUAAAGCGUGCGUAGGCGGUUAUGAAAGUUAGGAGUGAAAGCCCAGGGCUUAACCUUGGAAUUGCUCUUAAAACUACAUGACUUGAAUCUCGGAGAGGAUAGCGGAAUUGUCAGUGUAGCAGUGAAAUGCGUAGAUAUUGACAGGAACACCAGUGGCGUAAGCGGCUAUCUGGACGAGUAUUGACGCUGAUGUACAAAAGCGUGGGGAUCAAACAGG
Molecule: ribosomal RNA, 253 nt
Filed under: uncultured bacterium
Lineage: Bacteria
Description: partial 16S ribosomal RNA
Rfam family: Bacterial small subunit ribosomal RNA
Source: RNAcentral